UGGGGAAUAUUGCACAAUGGGCGCAAGCCUGAUGCAGCCAUGCCGCGUGUGUGAAGAAGGCCUUCGGGUUGUAAAGCACUUUCAGCGAGGAGGAAGGGUUCAGUGUUAAUAGCACUGUUCAUUGACGUUACUCGCAGAAGAAGCACCGGCUAACUCCGUGCCAGCAGCCGCGGUAAUACGGAGGGUGCAAGCGUUAAUCGGAAUUACUGGGCGUAAAGCGCACGCAGGCGGUUUGUUAAGUCAGAUGUGAAAUCCCCGCGCUUAACGUGGGAACUGCAUUUGAAACUGGCAAGCUAGAGUCUUGUAGAGGGGGGUAGAAUUCCAGGUGUAGCGGUGAAAUGCGUAGAGAUCUGGAGGAAUACCGGUGGCGAAGGCGGCCCCCUGGACAAAGACUGAC
RNAcentral lists this ribosomal RNA (397 nucleotides) under uncultured bacterium. RNAcentral describes it as "partial 16S ribosomal RNA". It matches the Rfam family "Bacterial small subunit ribosomal RNA", at positions 355 to 744 of the family's 1533-position model. The record is from RNAcentral.